GCCCCGGGGUAGGCUCGCGCCGCCGCGUCAGCUCAGCGCUUGGUCCCGCAGCUGUGAGGAGGACGCUCUGCAGACUCGCUGCCCGCCGGCUCCCAACCCCGCGUCACUGCGACCGCCGCGGCAAAGAUGGCCUCAGGAGUGCAAGUAGCUGAUGAAGUAUGUCGCAUUUUUUAUGACAUGAAAGUUCGUAAAUGUUCCACACCAGAAGAAAUCAAGAAAAGAAAGAAGGCUGUCAUUUUUUGUCUCAGUGCAGACAAAAAGUGCAUCAUUGUAGAAGAAGGCAAAGAGAUCUUGUUUGGAGAUGUUGGUGUAACCAUAACUGAUCCUUUCAAGCAUUUUGUGGGAAUGCUUCCUGAAAAAGAUUGUCGCUAUGCUUUGUAUGAUGCAAGCUUUGAAACAAAAGAAUCCAGAAAAGAAGAGUUGAUGUUUUUUUUUGUGGGCACCAGAACUGGCACCUCUGAAAAGUAAAAUGAUCUAUGCAAGCUCCAAGGAUGCAAUUAAAAAGAAAUUUCAAGGCAUAAAACAUGAAUGUCAAGCAAAUGAACCAGAAGAUCUCAAUCGGGCUUGUAUUGCUGAAAAAUUAGGUGGAUCCUUAAUUGUAGCCUUUGAAGGAUGCCCUGUGUAGGUCUUUCAGUGCCACAAAUUGAAAGCUUCCAUGUUUAAUGUUAUUCUCUUGCUAUAUAAAUAAAGCAAAUACAUUUAGGUCAGGGUCUCACUGAAGGGGAGCUGUCUCAUCAUCUUUUAGAGUAAACGAAAUAUUCUAUAAACAUAUGCAAACAGCCCCUAAAUAAAUCUAAAGUCUAAAGUUUUAUUGGUGUGAAAUUAAAUUCUUAUUGGCCAUAUGCCUGUUUUAAUGAGUUGAUUUAUAAAGAUUUUUGUUAAGCUCAGGAUUUUAAAUUAUGCAGUUCACAAAACAGUAAAGGCCAUGUGAAGAGAAUUAUUACAUCUUUAUUAACCUCAGCAUUUACUUUGCUUCUUUUGCUUAGAAAAUUGCUCAUAAUCUGGUUAUAAUUUUGGCCCAAAUUCUUUAUUCUUCCUUGAGCUAAGCAGAAUAAUGGAAUAUAAUAUGUCUUUAUAAUAUAACAACACUAAUACACUAAUAGUAAGAUUAAGUCAGGCAGUCUUUUACUUCUACCAAAUGUGUAAUGGAGAUUGCUUCAAAAUUGUGUCCACAUAAUCCACGCUGAUCUUGCAAAAGCACUAUUUCAAGCACAUCAUUGGAAUACAGGAAGUAGCCCUGCACCUGCCGGUGAGCUCACCAUUCACUGAUUGGGAGAGUGACCUGGCAUCUUGCAAAUCAUGGUGUGUCUUCAGGAGAAUGUGCAGUGUCUUGUAAUAAAUUAUAAUGCAAACUAGGGCUACACUGUAAUCUGCUUUGUUAAUGAAAAUGGCAAAACAAUAUCGACAAACUAGGACACCUGUGGUAUCUUUAAUUGUAUCUCAUUCAGAAGUUUGCUUCUUAUGGUAUAAUAAAGUAUGGAAGAAUAUUGAGUAUAUGUUUACUCUGGGCCUGGGAGAACUUAAUUUUGUAGAGCAGUUUGUUGACUUGUGUGCAAUGGGGAGAGGUACCAUGAUGACACUCACAGGGAGCCACUGUUCACUGACAUUUGGAAGUGGUCAUUGUUCAUAUCAUGGGCAUAACACUUUGAACGAUAUAGAGAUGCACCAACAGUUGAACUUAGAAGUAGCAGUAUUGGCUUUGUGUAAUAAAGGAAGCAUUUUUGACUUAAAAAAAAAAAAAAAAAAAAA
Molecule: RNA transcript, 1749 nt
Organism: Rhinopithecus roxellana (golden snub-nosed monkey)
Lineage: Eukaryota; Metazoa; Chordata; Mammalia; Primates; Cercopithecidae
Gene name: destrin pseudogene
Exons: 1
Source: RefSeq, a predicted model, not a curated record